GACGAACGCUGGCGGCGUGCUUAACACAUGCAAGUCGAACGGAAAGACCCUGCUUUUGUGGGGUGCUCGAGUGGCGAACGGGUGAGUAACACGUGAGUAACCUGCCCUUGACUUUGGGAUAACUUCAGGAAACUGGGGCUAAUACCGGAUAGGAGCUCCUGCUGCAUGGGGGGGGUUGGAAAGUUUCGGCGGUUGGGGAUGGACUCGCGGCUUAUCAGCUGGUUGGUGGGGUAGUGGCUUACCAAGGCUUUGACGGGUAGCCGGCCUGAGAGGGUGAACGGCCACAUUGGGACUGAGAUACGGACCAGACUCCUACGGGAGGCAGCAGUGGGGAAUAUUGCACAAUGGGCGGAAGCCUGAUGAAGCAACGCCGCGUGCGGGAUGACGGCCUUCGGGUUGUAAACCGCUUUCGCCUGUGACGAAGCGUGAGUGACGGUAAUGGGUAAAGAAGCACCGGCUAACUACGUG
RNAcentral lists this ribosomal RNA (468 nucleotides) under uncultured bacterium. RNAcentral's name for it is "partial 16S ribosomal RNA". It matches the Rfam family "Bacterial small subunit ribosomal RNA", at positions 28 to 507 of the family's 1533-position model. The record is from RNAcentral.